This 1369-nucleotide long non-coding RNA is filed under the name Musa acuminata (dwarf banana). Its description in RNAcentral is "long non-coding RNA (MACU_LNC011561)". Lineage: Eukaryota; Viridiplantae; Streptophyta; Magnoliopsida; Zingiberales; Musaceae. The record is from RNAcentral.
GUAUGUAGGUUUGAGACCUUAGAGCAGAAAUGCUCGUAUGUGUUUCUCUUUUCUCAUUUGUGAUUUUCUGGGUUUUCUCAUUGAUUAGAUUUGUACUUUCCCCCGAACAAGCAAGUCAUUCCACCAGCCUGCCUACCCGAGUCACUGAAGUAAGACUGCCCGAGUAUUGUAAUGAGGAGUUCCGGUUUCUUUAAUAAAGAUAGAUCAAAUUCUCCCAUGAAUCCUAUAGAAAGAGAGUGCAAAUGAUCAUCGCCAAGUAACUACUAAUGUGUAGCGGCAGUGAGCUACCCCCUACUAUGUCUGUACUGAAUAGAUACAUAAGAAAUUGUACGACUUUUCUUGAUUAUUUGUGAUUUGAGAAAUUGAUUCAUCCCAUUGGAUUCUUAAGCCCAGUCCACACUAUUCUUUAGCAAUCAACUGACUUUACUGACUUUAUCUAUCAUCUCUAACAACACCCAAGAGAAGAAGCGGCAGUUACAAGAGAAGAAGCAGCUUUCUCAUCUCUCAUCUAACACCCAGCAAACCUACCCCAGCCGCCAAGUCAGUCCACCACCCCACCAAGUAAGUAAACACCCAGUAAGUAAACCAGCCGACCCGACCUCUUAACUGGAACUGCGACUACUGAUAUUGAUACUGAUCCUGCCGAUGCUCAUAGCAAUUAGUUUGCGCUUACUCCUAGACUAGACCUCUUCUCUUUCUACUAAUACAGAUGCAACUGGGAAUUCACGGACAAGUAGACCAGCUCAAUGGAUCUCAUUUCUCUCUUAUAUAGGACAACUGCUGAAACAAGAACUCGAAUACCACUUGCACUUUCUGAAUCAACUUCACUUGCUAGCUCAGCUCCCCCAAAAGGACUUGCUCUUGACCACUUACUAGCUCCCCACCUAACUUCAAAGCCAGUACUUUAUGGAACCAACCCACCCGAGUAACUGAAGUCAACUACCCGAGUCAAAGAAUUCCACAAGCCUACCCGAGUAACUUCAUUCAACCAGUCAAUCAAGACACCAACAAGUAAGGCAUAGGAUGGAACUAACUCAUUACAGAACGUAUUUAUGCUUGAGUCUGUUAUUUUCUAUGUCUUUGUAGUAGUGACUUUUCCAGUAGUAGCGGCGUAGUUGCUGAUCUACUUUUCUACUCCCAUUAUGUUAUUAGUAACAGUAUGUAGAUGUAUGUCAGACUUUCAAUAAAUCGUCCUGCGGAUUCAAGUUGGUUUAGUUCUGAUUAUUAUAUCUUUGAAUCGGUCUCAAGUCUGAGGUCAUAGCAUCCUUGCUGGAAAUAGUUCCUCUCCUCAGGCCCAGGCCUAGUAGCUCGGGUCGCCCUUUUUGUUCAUCUUAGUGGAAGCCCGCCUUAUUAAUAGCGCAGCAGUGAG